GACGGAGGUUGCAAGCGUUAUUCGGAAUUAUUGGGCGUAAAGAGCGUGUAGGCGGCCGGUUAAGUCAGGUGUGAAAGUCCGGGGCUCAACCUCGGAAGUGCACUUGAAACUGGUCGGCUUGAGUUCGGGAGAGGGAAGCGGAAUUCCGGGUGUAGAGGUGAAAUUCGUAGAUAUCCGGAGGAACAUCGGUGGCGAAGGCGGCUUCCUGGGCCGAAACUGACGCUGAGACGCGAAAGCGUGGGGAGCAAACAGG
This 253-nucleotide ribosomal RNA is filed under the name uncultured bacterium. RNAcentral describes it as "partial 16S ribosomal RNA". It matches the Rfam family "Bacterial small subunit ribosomal RNA", at positions 524 to 776 of the family's 1533-position model. The record is from RNAcentral.